UUUAAUUGCUGUGGUAUUGUGACUAUACGAAGGUAUUGAAAUAAGGCUUUAAUUGGGUGCUAAGAGAAUGGUUUAACAGAGAUGGGCUUUUUUCUUAUUUAAAUUGGAAUUUGAUUUAAAAAUGAAGAAGUUUUUAUGAAAUUUUGGGACAAGAAGACCCUAUGAAUUUUUUAAAAAAAUUAUUUUUAGUUUUUGUUUGGAAGAAGAUGCGGAUAUUUUUUUGUUAAUUGGGGUGAUUUUUAAAUUUUGGUUAACUUUAAAAGUGUGUUAUUGGAUCCAGUAAUAGUGAUAGAUUGAAUAAAAUACUCUAGGGAUAACAGCGUUAUUACUUUGGAUAGUUCAUAUAGAUAAAGUAGAUUGCGACCUCGAUGUUGGAUUAGGAUACCUUUAUUGAUGAAGAAGUCGUGAAAGGGGGUUUGCUCAACUUUUAAAUUCCUACAUGAUCUGAGUUCAGACCGG
Molecule: ribosomal RNA, 459 nt
Filed under: Ornithodoros pavimentosus
Lineage: Eukaryota; Metazoa; Arthropoda; Arachnida; Ixodida; Argasidae
Description: partial 16S ribosomal RNA
Rfam family: Bacterial large subunit ribosomal RNA (bases 147-459)
Source: RNAcentral